CUACGGGGUGCAGCAGUGAGGAAUAUUGCACAAUGGGGGGAACCCUGAUGCAGCAACGCCGCGUGGAGGAUGACGCAUUUCGGUAUGUAAACUCCUUUUAUAUGUCAAGAAAAUGACGGUAGCAUAUGAAUAAGCACCGGCUAACUCCGUGCCAGCAGCCGCGGUAAUACGGAGGGUGCAAGCGUUACUCGGAAUCACUGGGCGUAAAGGACGCGUAGGCGGGUUGGAAAGUCAGGUGUGAAAUCCUACAGCUUAACUGUAGAACUGCACUUGAAACUUCUAAUCUAGAGUAUGGGAGGGGGAGAUGGAAUUAGUGGUGUAGGGGAAAAAUCCGUAGAUAUCACUAGGAAUACCUAAAGCGAAGGCGAUCUCCUGGAACAUUACUGACGCUAAGGCGUGAAAGCGUGGGGAGCAAACAGGAUUAGAUACCCCCGUAGUC
This 439-nucleotide ribosomal RNA is filed under the name uncultured bacterium. RNAcentral describes it as "partial 16S ribosomal RNA". It matches the Rfam family "Bacterial small subunit ribosomal RNA", at positions 339 to 795 of the family's 1533-position model. The record is from RNAcentral.